GACGAACGCUGGCGGCGUGCUUAACACAUGCAAGUCGAACGGAAAGGCCCUGCUUUUGUGGGGUGCUCGAGUGGCGAACGGGUGAGUAACACGUGAGUAACCUGCCCUUGACUUUGGGAUAACUUCAGGAAACUGGGGCUAAUACCGGAUAGGAGCUCCUGCUGCAUGGUGGGGGUUGGAAAGUUUCGGCGGUUGGGGAUGGACUCGCGGCUUAUCAGCUUGUUGGUGGGGUAGUGGCUUACCAAGGCUUUGACGGGUAGCCGGCCUGAGAGGGUGACCGGCCACCUUGGGACUGCGGUACGGCCCAGACUCCUACGGGGGGCAGAAGUGGGGAAUAUUGCGCAAUGGGCGGAAGCCUGAUGCAGCAACGCCGCGUGCGGGAUGACGGCCUUCGGGUUGUAAACCGCUUUCGCCUGUGACGAAGCGUGAGUGACGGUAAUGGGUAAAGAAGCACCGGCUAACUACGUG
RNAcentral lists this ribosomal RNA (468 nucleotides) under uncultured bacterium. Its description in RNAcentral is "partial 16S ribosomal RNA". It matches the Rfam family "Bacterial small subunit ribosomal RNA", at positions 28 to 507 of the family's 1533-position model. The record is from RNAcentral.